AAGAUCUUACUUCAUAGGAUAAUUUAUAUAGUAAGCUCUUCGCCAAGCUAUCACAAUACGUGAGCUGACCCCAUCCACGAAGAUGAGUCGUGGCGCGGUGAAGCGCGAGAAAGGCGAUGUCCGGUCAUCAGCCAUCGAUGAUCGUUCACCUCCCUCCAGGGGGAGGCGUGGG
Small nucleolar RNA from Cydia strobilella, 172 nucleotides. RefSeq annotates it as small nucleolar RNA U3. Lineage: Eukaryota; Metazoa; Arthropoda; Insecta; Lepidoptera; Tortricidae. The transcript has a single exon. The record is from RefSeq and is a predicted model, not a curated record.